This 735-nucleotide ribosomal RNA is filed under the name uncultured Corynebacterium sp. RNAcentral describes it as "bacterial SSU rRNA". It matches the Rfam family "Bacterial small subunit ribosomal RNA", at positions 28 to 776 of the family's 1533-position model. Lineage: Bacteria; Bacillati; Actinomycetota; Actinomycetes; Mycobacteriales; Corynebacteriaceae. The record is from RNAcentral.
GACGAACGCUGGCGGCGUGCUUAACACAUGCAAGUCGAACGGAAAGGCCCUGCUUGCAGGGUACUCGAGUGGCGAACGGGUGAGUAACACGUGGGUGAUCUGCCCUGCACUUCGGGAUAAGCCUGGGAAACUGGGUCUAAUACCGGAUAGGAGCCAUUUUUAGUGUGAUGGUUGGAAAGUUUUUUCGGUGUAGGAUGAGCUCGCGGCCUAUCAGCUUGUUAGUGGGGUAAUGGCCUACCAAGGCGGCGACGGGUAGCCGGCCUGAGAGGGUGGACGGCCACAUUGGGACUGAGAUACGGCCCAGACUCCUACGGGAGGCAGCAGUGGGGAAUAUUGCACAAUGGGCGCAAGCCUGAUGCAGCGACGCCGCGUGGGGGAUGACGGCCUUCGGGUUGUAAACUCCUUUCGCUAGGGACGAAGCUUUUUGUGACGGUACCUAGAUAAGAAGCACCGGCUAACUACGUGCCAGCAGCCGCGGUAAUACGUAGGGUGCGAGCGUUGUCCGGAAUUACUGGGCGUAAAGGGCUCGUAGGUGGUUUGUCGCGUCGUCUGUGAAAUUCCGGGGCUUAACUCCGGGCGUGCAGGCGAUACGGGCAUAACUUGAGUACUGUAGGGGUAACUGGAAUUCCUGGUGUAGCGGUGAAAUGCGCAGAUAUCAGGAGGAACACCGAUGGCGAAGGCAGGUUACUGGGCAGUUACUGACGCUGAGGAGCGAAAGCAUGGGUAGCGAACAGG